Molecule: ribosomal RNA, 1346 nt
Filed under: uncultured bacterium
Lineage: Bacteria
Description: partial 16S ribosomal RNA
Rfam family: Bacterial small subunit ribosomal RNA
Source: RNAcentral
GACGAACGCUUGCGGCGUGCUUAACACAUGCAAGUCGAACGGAAAGGCCCUGCUUUUGUGGGGUGCUCGAGUGGCGAACGGGUGAGUAACACGUGAGUAACCUGCCCUUGACUUUGGGAUAACUUCAGGAAACUGGGGCUAAUACCGGAUAGGAGCUCCUGCUGCAUGGUGGGGGUUGGAAAGUUUCGGCGGUUGGGGAUGGACUCGCGGCUUAUCAGCUUGUUGGUGGGGUAGUGGCUUACCAAGGCUUUGACGGGUAGCCGGCCUGAGAGGGUGACCGGCCACAUUGGGACUGAGAUACGGCCCAGACUCCUACGGGAGGCAGCAGUGGGGAAUAUUGCACAAUGGGCGGAAGCCUGAUGCAGCAACGCCGCGUGCGGGAUGACGGCCUUCGGGUUGUAAACCGCUUUCGCCUGUGACGAAGCGUGAGUGACGGUAAUGGGUAAAGAAGCACCGGCUAACUACGUGCCAGCAGCCGCGGUGAUACGUAGGGUGCGAGCGUUGUCCGGAUUUAUUGGGCGUAAAGGGCUCGUAGGUGGUUGAUCGCGUCGGAAGUGUAAUCUUGGGGCUUAACCCUGAGCGUGCUUUCGAUACGGGUUGACUUGAGGAAGGUAGGGGAGAAUGGAAUUCCUGGUGGAGCGGUGGAAUGCGCAGAUAUCAGGAGGAACACCAGUGGCGAAGGCGGUUCUCUGGGCCUUUCCUGACGCUGAGGAGCGAAAGCGUGGGGAGCGAACAGGCUUAGAUACCCUGGUAGUCCACGCUGUAAACGGUGGGUACUAGGUGUGGGGUCCAUUCCACGGGUUCCGUGCCGUAGCUAACGCUUUAAGUACCCCGCCUGGGGAGUACGGCCGCAAGGCUAAAACUCAAAGGAAUUGACGGGGCCCCGCACAAGCGGCGGAGCAUGCGGAUUAAUUCGAUGCAACGCGUAGAACCUUACCUGGGUUUGACAUGGAUCGGGAGUGCUCAGAGAUGGGUGUGCCUCUUUUGGGGUCGGUUCACAGGUGGUGCAUGGCUGUCGUCAGCUCGUGUCGUGAGAUGUUGGGUUAAGUCCCGCAACGAGCGCAACCCUUGUUCACUGUUGCCAGCACGUUAUGGUGGGGACUCAGUGGAGACCGCCGGGGUCAACUCGGAGGAAGGUGGGGAUGACGUCAAGUCAUCAUGCCCCUUAUGUCCAGGGCUUCACGCAUGCUACAAUGGCUGGUACAGAGAGUGGCGAGCCUGUGAGGGUGAGCGAAUCUCGGAAAGCCGGUCUCAGUUCGGAUUGGGGUCUGCAACUCGACCUCAUGACGUCGGAGUCGCUAGUAAUCGCAGAUCAGCAACGCUGCGGUGAAUACGUUCCCGGGGCU